UCCUCCAUUGGACCUCUCUCUCUCUCUCUCUCUCUCUCUCUCUCUCUCUCUCUCUCUCUAAAAAGGUGAAAACUGCAAAAAUUAAAAGCCUAAAAUCCCAUUUGACCAACAUGCACAGAGCUUAGUGGGUGUUUCUAUAUCUUUCAGUGCCUUCUUCUUCUGUGUUUCUCACAACCCGAAGAGAUGAAGAGAGAACACUGCCAUAGCUCUGCAACUGCAAGUCAGAAUAAUUCCAAACGAGAAUACUCAUCACCGCCGUCUUCCGCCCUGAACGGCAAGGCCAAGAUUUGGGAAGAUGAACAAGGCUACAGCGGCGGCGGCGACAUGGACGAGCUGCUUGCCGUUUUGGGAUACAAGGUUCGGACCGACGACAUGGCCGACGUGGCCGAGAAGCUCGAGCAGCUCGAGAUGGUCAUGGGGUCGGCUCAGGAAGAUGGGGUUUCUCAGCUCUCUGACACCGUCCAUUACAACCCGUCCGAUCUCUCCGGGUGGGUCCAAAGCAUGCUCUCUGAGCUCAACACCGGCGACGAUAUGCCCUCAAUCAACGGCCCUCUUCUCGCUCCAGGGGAGUCCUCGACGAUAACGUCGACGAGCUUCUGCAAUUCCCAGCGGACUCGGGUUUUCAGCGACGAUUCCGAAUACGAUCUCAGGGCUAUUCCUGGCGUGGCGGCGUACCCGCCGGCACAUUCGUCGUCGGAGACCGAGAGUACGAGAAAGCGAUUGAAGAGCUCAAUUGGGUCUAAUUCCGGCGGGAUUGAAGUCUCCGGCGCUGUAUCCGACCCGAUUCGGCCUCUGGUCCUGGUCGACUCACAAGAAACCGGUGUCCAACUCGUCCACACACUCAUGGCCUGUGCUGAGGCUGUCCAGCAGGAAAACUUGAAGCUUGCAGACGCGCUUGUGAAGCACGUGGGCCUACUCGCGGCUGCCCAAACCGGAGCUAUGAGGAAAGUCGCCACGUACUUCGCUGAAGCUCUGGCUCGUCGGAUUUACCGAAUAUACCCUCAGGAUUGCCUCGAUUCUUCCUACUCGGACAUUCUCCAGAUGCACUUCUACGAGACCUGCCCCUACCUGAAAUUUGCUCACUUCACUGCCAACCAGGCAAUACUCGAGGCUUUUGCCACGGCGACCAGAGUACACGUCAUCGAUUUCGGGCUUAAACAGGGGAUGCAAUGGCCAGCGCUCAUGCAGGCGCUGGCACUAAGGCCCGGUGGCCCACCCGUGUUUCGCCUGACGGGUAUUGGGCCGCCGCAGCCCGAUAACACCGACGUUCUGCAGCAGGUGGGAUGGAAGUUGGCUCAAUUGGCAGAAACUAUUGGGGUCGAGUUUGAAUUUCGAGGAUUCGUGGCCAAUAGCCUGGCUGACCUCGAGCCGUCUAUGCUUGACAUCCGUCAGGACGAGGCCGUAGCGGUGAAUUCGGUUUUCAAGCUUCACGGUCUCUUGGCUCGAGCCGGGGCGGUGGACAAAGUGUUGUCAUCAAUCAAGGCCAUGAAGCCUAAAAUUGUGACUAUUGUGGAGCAGGAGGCGAACCAUAACGGGCCGGUUUUCUUGGACCGGUUCACGGAGGCAUUGCAUUAUUAUUCAAGCUUGUUUGACUCUCUGGAGGGAUCGUCCGGGCCGAGUCAAGAUUUGGUCAUGUCCGAGGUCUAUUUGGGUAGGCAGAUAUGCAACGUGGUGGCAUGUGAAGGUGGGGACCGAGUUGAGCGACACGAGACGCUGACUCAGUGGCGAGGCCGGAUGGACUCCGCCGGGUUCGACCCAGUCCACCUCGGAUCGAACGCGUUCAAGCAGGCUAGCAUGCUGCUUGAUCUUUUCGCCGGCGUAGAUGGGUAUCGGGUGCAGGAGAACAAUGGGUCUCUCAUGCUCGGGUGGCACACGCGGCCGCUCAUAGUCACCUCGGCUUGGAAGCUGGCGAGCUCAACGGAGUGAGUGAAUGAGUCAAUUUCAGUCGGUUCAGCGGCGGUGAUUGAUUGAACCACCGGGCACCCAGUGGGGUGGUUGGACACUGUGACCAUGUGAGUUGUGAAUUGUCAGUAGAGAGAGUGGGGACUACAAUGAAAGUGAAACUGUGAAACCAAUCCAAUCGAAUCAAUCAAGUGGUGUAAACUGUGUAGUUGUAAUUGUAAUGGUAGUUUUUUAUUUUUUUUUUCAUUUUUUUUAUGGGCCCUUUUGCAUAAGUUCCAAGUUGUAGAGUCCUUUCGACAAGGGGGACGAAUGAAUCAUUGUGACGAUGUGUAACUAUCUAUCUUUUCUGGAAUAAAAUGAUGAGCAUUGAUUCUUGAAUGGGAAAGAAACCAUUUUGCUCUCUGUAAAUUUGACACAUUA
RNAcentral lists this long non-coding RNA (2322 nucleotides) under Malus domestica (apple). RNAcentral describes it as "long non-coding RNA (MDOM_LNC008756)". Lineage: Eukaryota; Viridiplantae; Streptophyta; Magnoliopsida; Rosales; Rosaceae. The record is from RNAcentral.